CAGCCGCCACGGGAAUACGGAGGGUGCAAGCGUUAUCCGGAUUUAUUGGGUUUAAAGGGUCCGUAGGCGGAUCUGUAAGUCAGUGGUGAAAUCUCACAGCUUAACUGUGAAACUGCCAUUGAUACUGCAGGUCUUGAGUAAAUUUGAAGUGGCUGGAAUAAGUAGUGUAGCGGUGAAAUGCAUAGAUAUUACUUAGAACACCAAUUGCGAAGGCAGGUCACUAAGAUUUAACUGACGCUGAUGGACGAAAGCGUGGGGAGCGAACAGGAUUAGAUACCCGCGUAGUCCCUGUCUCUUAUAC
This 301-nucleotide ribosomal RNA is filed under the name uncultured bacterium. Its description in RNAcentral is "partial 16S ribosomal RNA". It matches the Rfam family "Bacterial small subunit ribosomal RNA", at positions 509 to 807 of the family's 1533-position model. The record is from RNAcentral.